Non-coding RNA from Pelobates cultripes (western spadefoot toad), 412 nucleotides. NCBI's taxonomy places the organism in Eukaryota, Metazoa, Chordata, Amphibia, Anura, Pelobatidae. The record is from the annotation of a GenBank genome assembly.
UGACCAGACUUUGUCGGAAAAGACAAUAAUUAAAAGGGAGGAGGGAAUUGUAGAAAUUGGGAGAUGCAAGGAAGGAAGGAGGAUCCCACAUCCUGGCAGGAAAUUCUUAAGCUGGGAAAGACGCAGAAGUUUUACAUGACGGCUUGUGACUGACCCUCUUGAGAGCUCUCUCAUAGGGAUUUUCUGCUUGUUUAGAUAAGUGAGAAGGACUGCUCAGACAGACACAUUCUGUAAGAUAUGGACAUCAGGAACUUUCCCAUCAUUAAAGCCCAUCUCCUUCUCUGUAUGCCUGGGUCGAACAAAAACAACCUCAUGUAGGGGUAGAAUUCGGCUGGGCUAAACUUCUGCAAUAACAUGUUCACAUGCAGGAUAUUAUUAUUAUGUCUACACAAGCAAGUAACUUAGAAACUGG